RNAcentral lists this ribosomal RNA (246 nucleotides) under uncultured bacterium. RNAcentral's name for it is "partial 16S ribosomal RNA". It matches the Rfam family "Bacterial small subunit ribosomal RNA", at positions 83 to 334 of the family's 1533-position model. The record is from RNAcentral.
CUUUCGGGCCUAGUGGCGCACGGGUGAGUAACGCGUAACUGACCUACCCCAAGUUCGGAAUAACUGGUUGAAAAAUCAGCUAAUACCGGAUGUGAUCCGCCAUCGUGUUGGCGGUAUUAAAGAACUUCGCUUGGGGAUGGGGUUGCGUUCCAUCAGCUGGUUGGUGGGGUAAAGGCCUACCAAGGCGACGACGGAUCGCCGGCCUGAGAGGGUGGCCGGCCACAGGGGCACUGAGACACGGGUCCC